Solenopsis invicta (red fire ant) is the source of this 527-nucleotide long non-coding RNA. RefSeq lists it as uncharacterized. The transcript is spliced from 3 exons. The record is from RefSeq and is a predicted model, not a curated record. NCBI's taxonomy places the organism in Eukaryota, Metazoa, Arthropoda, Insecta, Hymenoptera, Formicidae.
GAAGGUCGCGGCGCGCCGCAGCGUAUUUCAACGCUCGCACCCUCAUCGUCUCGUACGAGUUUUUGACGCGAGUGAGUGUUUCGAGAGAACCGAAAAUGAAGUGAAAUGUCGGGCGUUCGUGCCAACAUCCGUCGUCGUCGUGUCGGAUACGAUGCAUGGUGCGAAGUCGUGUCGCGUUUAAUCGUGUUUCGCAUCUUGUUCGUUGCCUCGUAUUCCGAGUUUCCGAUGCGUGUGAGUACCGGGAGUACCAGAAAGUACCGAAAACGAAGGGUCGCACGUUCAUCUUUAAUCUUCAAUCUUCAAUUUUCAAUGCGUAGUCUGAUACGGGCUUAAGGAGGAUCUUGGAUCUCAAACGUUCGAGAGCUGCAAUCGUCGUACAAAGCUGGACGGAUUUGAGCUACCAACGGCGAACGAUAGCUGGCUAGGAGACAAUUCUUACGACACAACACCAAUUGGUUAACCGAUCAUAGUUAACGUAAUGGCUGGAGACACAUAUUUUUUGCGCAGCACAUAAAAUCGACCAAUCG